CUUAUUAGUUAGAUGUCAUUAUUUUACAAGCCGUAACUGAUCAAACAUGAGUACUGGCUGAAGUGAUGAUGCCUGAUUAGCAAG
Molecule: microRNA precursor, 84 nt
Organism: Gallus gallus (chicken)
Lineage: Eukaryota; Metazoa; Chordata; Aves; Galliformes; Phasianidae
Source: Ensembl